CGGAGGGUGCGAGCGUUAAUCGGAAUUACUGGGCGUAAAGCGCAUGCAGGUGGUUUGUUAAGUCAGAUGUGAAAGCCCGGGCUCAACCUCGGAAGGUCAUUUGAAACUGGCAAACUAGAGUACUGUAGAGGGGGUAGAAUUUCAGGUGUAGCGGUGAAAUGCGUAGAGAUCUGAAGGAAUACCAGUGGCGAAGGCGGCCCCUGGACAGAUACUGACACUCAGAUGCGAAAGCGUGGGGGAGCAAACAGGAUU
This 252-nucleotide ribosomal RNA is filed under the name uncultured bacterium. RNAcentral describes it as "partial 16S ribosomal RNA". It matches the Rfam family "Bacterial small subunit ribosomal RNA", at positions 526 to 779 of the family's 1533-position model. The record is from RNAcentral.